This 226-nucleotide ribosomal RNA is filed under the name uncultured bacterium. RNAcentral's name for it is "partial 16S ribosomal RNA". It matches the Rfam family "Bacterial small subunit ribosomal RNA", at positions 524 to 749 of the family's 1533-position model. The record is from RNAcentral.
CACGUAGGUGACAAGCGUUAUCCGGAUUUACUGGGCGUAAAGGGUCCGUAGGUGGCCUUCAAGGUCUGGUGUGAAAUCCCCCGGCUCAACUGGGGGGAGCCACUGGAAACCGGGAGGCUGGAGUCACACAGAGGUCACUCGAAUUCCCGGUGUAGUGGUGGAAUGCGUAGAGAUCGGGAGGAAGACCAGAGGCGCAAGCGGGUGACUGGGUGCUGACUGACACUGA